This is a long non-coding RNA of Clupea harengus (Atlantic herring), 1115 nucleotides long. The record is from Ensembl. Lineage: Eukaryota; Metazoa; Chordata; Actinopteri; Clupeiformes; Clupeidae.
GUGGAGGAGGGGGCACAAGGGAAAGGCUGGGCUCAGGGAGCUGCACAAGUGUCUCAACAAGAACGAUGUGCCCCACGAGGUCCGAGACUGCCUGGAAGAUAUGUUGCAGGGUAACUGUACUAAAUGAGUGUGCUGGACUUUUGGAAGUAAGGAAUCCACCUGCUUGAACUGCUGGACUAAACACAAGGGACCAAAACACACUUCAGUCUGACCUUUUAGAUAGGAAGUGUGUGUGUUUGUGUGUGUGUGUGUGAGUGUGUGUUUGUGUGUGUAUGUGCACAAGUGUAUGUGUGUGUGUAUUACUGAACCUUUACCACAGGCACUAGACGCUGCCUAAAACUGGCCUUUUGCGGGUUUGUAAAACCACUUUUUCUUUUGAAAAGAUGCUUCAAAAGGUCUUGUCUCUCCCUCAAGCAAGCUAUUCAUUUCGCCCCCUGGUUUGUCACUCAAGAUCGGUUACACGAGGUCUGGUUUUGAGAAUCCGUGGAUGUGUAAGUGUUGGGGAAAACACUGCAGAAAAGUGACUAUGGUGCUGCAGUCCCUACUGCCAGUGGAAACAGAACCAGUGGUUCAAACUUAAGCUUGUUUAUUUUGAAAAGAUUUUCACCCUUUGUUUUUGAUAAUGGCUUUUUUAUUAUGAAAUUGUACAUCUGUGUAUAUAUUUAGUAUGUGACCCAUGUGACCAAAAAUGUACAUAUCUUUUGUUAGUUUUUUUUUUUUUUAUACCUGUCAGAACUUGAUUGCGAUUUUAAUGGGUUGUAGUCAGUCGUUAGCACUAGUCAAUAGAAUUGGAUUGGAAUAGCACUUUCUAGAAAAAGAAAGUAGUCUGAGAAUAAAACUCCAGUGAACGGUAGACUGAAGAGCCAGAGCGCACACGCUGAACGAUUAAUUGCAAUCAGAGUCCUGUGAAAAGCUGCCUGUUUAAACGAGUACGCAUUCCUGCCACAAGGGCCAGUUGAUGGGAAAGGGAGAGACAAUUAUGGCAAAUUAGUCAAGGCAACUAUGUUAGCAAAUCUCAACUGAUGUGAUUUUGAACUUAAACUUGAACUUGAAGGGAGUCAAAAGAGACAAAAGGCUGGAACGGAGCCCAAGUGGACACCUGAGACUGACUGGAG